GGGUCAAAUAGGCAAGGCAUAUCGAUAGGAUAAUAGGCUUGUACGCAAGGUCAAGUAUAGGCUAGAGAGAAAGACCGGUAUAUGUUUAUGUUGAGAAGAAAUGCAUUGUUUGAUUUCCGAAGCAAGUAAAGGCGCGCAACGAAAGGCAUGCAUGUUUCAUUUGCAGGUGCUGCCGGUCUUCGGCUGAGCUUACUAAAUAAAAGAAAGCACGACCUGGAAUCGUAAAUAGACGAAGUGGUGUUUUUUCCUUUCCUUGAGGAUCUAUGCUUUUCAUGGCUCUCUUUCUAACGUGGAUGACAGGUUUCAAAUAGUGGAUCAGUUUCUUAAUUUUCUAAGUGCUUUUCGUUGCCUUCUUCUUAUCUUUAUGUACCCUAGAAAAAGAGAAGAAUCUUCACCAUUACCAUCACCUCCAAUGGUUGGCGUCCCUUUAAUUGUCAUUUAGUAGUAGAUAGGUUUGUUGAGGACAUAAUCUCCCAGCCUUAUUCAUGCAUGAUAAAGGUAGCCUUUCAUAGUCCAAAGCCUUUGUGUGCUUUUGUAUUGAACUCUUUUCUACAACGUUGAAGGAUUGCCUUACGGGAUUAGCAAUGGCUUAAUAAAAGGAUUCAAAAAGGGCUUCUCUUAGGUCCCAUACUAGAUGACCACCCGGAACUGGAUGUACUCGUACUAGAACAUUUGGUGAUUACCCACCGGGACUUCCUACUAAGUAUUUGACACUUCCAUCAAGAAGAAAACUCUAAAGUACUCAAUCAAUGCGAAU
RNAcentral lists this long non-coding RNA (757 nucleotides) under Zea mays. Its description in RNAcentral is "long non-coding RNA NONZMAT002447". The record is from RNAcentral. Lineage: Eukaryota; Viridiplantae; Streptophyta; Magnoliopsida; Poales; Poaceae.